UACAGAGGUCUCAAGCGUUGUUCGGAUUCAUUGGGCGUAGAGGGUGCGUAGGCGGCGCGGUAAGUCGGGUGUGAAAUCUCGGAGCUUAACUCCGAAACUGCAUUCGAUACUGCCGUGCUUGAGGACUGGAGAGGAGACUGGAAUUUACGGUGUAGCGGUGAAAUGCGUAGAUAUCGUAAGGAAGACCAGUGGCGAAGGCGGGUCUCUGGACAGUUCCUGACGCUGAAGCACGAAGGCCAGGGGAGCAAACGGG
RNAcentral lists this ribosomal RNA (253 nucleotides) under uncultured bacterium. RNAcentral describes it as "partial 16S ribosomal RNA". It matches the Rfam family "Bacterial small subunit ribosomal RNA", at positions 524 to 776 of the family's 1533-position model. The record is from RNAcentral.